GAUGAAGAACGCAGCGAAAUGCGAUAAGUAGUGUGAAUUGCAGAAUUCAGUGAAUCAUCGAAUCUUUGAACGCACAUUGCGCCCCUUGGUAUUCCAUGGGGCAUGCCUGUUCGAGCGUCAUUUGUACCUUCAAGCUUUGCUUGGUGUUGGGUGUUUGUCUCGCCUUUGCGUGUAGACUCGCCUUAAAAUAAUUGGCAGCCGGCGUAUUGAUUUCGGAGCGCAGUACAUCUCGCGCUUUGCACUCAUAACGACAGCGUCCAAAAGUACAUUUUACACUCUUGACCUCGGAUCAGGUAGGGAUACCCGCUGAACUUAAGCAUAUCAAUAAGAGGA
This 333-nucleotide unclassified non-coding RNA is filed under the name soil metagenome. Its description in RNAcentral is "partial contains 5.8S ribosomal RNA, internal transcribed spacer 2, and large subunit ribosomal RNA". The stretch from base 1 to 120 matches the Rfam family "5.8S ribosomal RNA", at positions 35 to 154 of the family's 154-position model. The record is from RNAcentral.